Molecule: small RNA, 131 nt
Filed under: Tamlana crocina
Lineage: Bacteria; Pseudomonadati; Bacteroidota; Flavobacteriia; Flavobacteriales; Flavobacteriaceae
Description: 6S RNA
Rfam family: 6S-Flavo RNA
Source: RNAcentral
ACUCAACGUUAAUUCUUUAAAAAGGGUGAGUUUAAGUUGUAAAAGCAGGCCGCUAGUGCCGAACUUGUUUCGGUAUCUAUGGGCGGAUCCUUGAUCAGCUUGUUAGCCCUAAACUUGUUUUUAAGGAGUUU